UUAAUUGGUUUCUGGGUUGAGGUGUCUGGGGAAGGGCCCAAAUAUCAAACUUUUGAACAGAAUUAGUUGUCUGAGAAGGCCAUGUGCCAUAACCUAUAAACUUGUUAAAACUUUCAACAACGGAUCUCUUGGCUCUCGCAUCGAUGAAGAACGCAGCGAAAUGCGAUAAGUAAUGUGAAUUGCAGAAUUCAGUGAAUCAUCGAAUCUUUGAACGCACAUUGCGCCCUUUGGUAUUCCUUAGGGCAUGCCUGUUCGAGCGUCACUAAAAACCAUCUCACAGAUAAUGUGGUAUUGGUAGCAGUGGAUAGUAAUAACACUACUUUGUCUUACUCUACCGAAAUGAAUAGGCCAGAGAAGUGGACCAUGGUAAUAGACUCCAGGAGUGUUUUAAAAUGCUAAACUAGUCAUACCCAAGUCAUAUUCUGAGCUACUGGACCCCCAUUUAGUCCAAAUCAAAGAGGUUGACCUCGGAUCAGGUAGGGAUACCCGCUGAACUUAAGCAUAUCAAUAAGCGGAG
This 517-nucleotide small RNA is filed under the name Tuber sp. 19 KA-2010. RNAcentral's name for it is "eukaryotic LSU rRNA". The stretch from base 109 to 262 matches the Rfam family "5.8S ribosomal RNA". Lineage: Eukaryota; Fungi; Ascomycota; Pezizomycetes; Pezizales; Tuberaceae. The record is from RNAcentral.